Molecule: long non-coding RNA, 3854 nt
Filed under: Sus scrofa (pig)
Lineage: Eukaryota; Metazoa; Chordata; Mammalia; Artiodactyla; Suidae
Description: lncRNA (ENSSSCG00040036306.1)
Source: RNAcentral
AUUUCUCUAGAGAAGUCUGGGGCCAGCCUGACUGUUUUUUUCCCUUUAUAGGUGACCUACUUCUGCCUGAGUAUUGGUAGAAUUCUUUCUUUAUCCUUGAAGUUCAUUAACUUCAUCAGGAUAUAGCUCGGUCUUGGUGUGAUUCUCUAUUACAUUUUCCUGGUACAUGGUAAGCCAUUUCAAUCUGCGUUCAGGAGUAUGUUCUUAUAUAUCUUACUGAUAUGCUUUCAGUUUUAUUUUUCUUUCCUGAAGGGACAUCAAUUUUAUGAUUAUUCAUCUUCAUUUCCUAUCUUUCAUUUCAGAUGCUUCUUUUGUCUUCUGCUGUGUUCUAGGUAGUUUUCUCAGUAUUAUCUUUUCAUUUCAUUAAUUUGUUUUCAUCAAUAUCAGGUCCACUACUUUAUAUGAUGUAGUUUUCAUUGUGCCAGUGGCUUCAGUACUUCAUUCAUUUUUAUUUAUUUAUGUCGGUGAGCUGCCCUUUCAACUUGUCUCAUUUAUUUCCCUCUUUAAAACAGCUUUUACUUGUGGUAAAAACAGGUAAAACCACAUUGUCUUGAAAUGAGUAAAUCAGUGCUAAUACCACAGUUUAUUCUCCAAGAACACAAGUGAUUAGUGAAAUCUGUUUUAUCAAGUCAUGCUGUUAAAUGUGCUUUAUUAAUGGCAUGAAAUAUGAAAAAACUGUUAUUCAUUUGCAUCCUAAAGACAUUUCUUUUUGCAGUUGGGUGAGCUUUUGUGCACAGUAGAAAUCUGUUUUGCCAUGUGUGCUUUUGUGUGUAUGAGAGAUAAGUGUUCAAGAAUUUUUCUUAUUAAUCGUUGAAGAUCUGUUGAAGAUUUUUUUUUUACCCAGUGUGUUUGUAAUGUAAACCAUUAAGAAAAAUUUCAUUGAGAAGGAAAAUCAUGACUGACAGAGGCUGUGUCAUCCAUGUGUGCCAUAGUAAAAGACCUGCUGUAUGAAUUUCAUAGGAGUACUAACUUGCUCUUUGCUUUAUUCUGAGGAAAUUAAGGUGAUCUAAAGUGCCCCUUGGAGUUCCCGUCAUGGUUCAGCAGAAAUGAAUCUAACUAGGAACCCUGAGGUUGCAGGUUAGAUCCCUGGCCUGGCUCAGUGGGUUAGGGAUCCGGUGUUGCCGUGACCUGUGGUGUAGGGUGCAGAUGAGGCUCGGAGCUGGCAUUGCUGUGGCUGUGGUGUAGGCUGGCAGCUGUAGCUGCUGUUGGACCCUUAGCCUGAGAACCUCCGUAUGCCGUGGGUGCACCCCUAAAAAGACAACAGACCCAAAAAAAAAAAAAAAAGUGCCCCUUAAUCUCCAUUUGAGGUUGAAGGAAAUAGUGAAAAUUGUGAAUGUGUGUAAAAUGUGGUUACUGAGCAUGAUAUUUUCACUGUGAUUUAUUAAAAUACGUGCAAGACAUAUGUACUGUAAAGUAUCCUAACUGUUUAGUAGGGCCUAGGUUCUCCCAUGGUUUUUGUUGUUGUUUUUUUGGUUUUUUUUUUGGUACGGUGGCUGAGAUAACUGGCAUUUUUAAUGUUUUUGUUGAUGUUAACAGAGGUUAUUUUAGUUAAUCAGCAUGGCCUGAUAUGGCCAGCAGCAUACCCAGUAUUGUGAAUAACCUGAAUUUACUACUUUAUGAGAGGCUAUUCAUAGCUUAUUCUUAAAGUUGUUAGAAUUACCUAAAGGCUCUAAACUGUUAUGUUUGAUUGCCAGUAAUGUGGCAUCUUCCUGAGAUGAUGCGUAUGUUUUCACUGAUCCAUUAAUUCAACAGAUAUUUACAGAGGGCCUACUACAUGCCAGGGACUGGAACAGGUGCUGGAAUAUAUCACUAAACAAAAGUCCAUGCCCUUUUAGAGCUUGCAUUCUAGUGGGUGUAGGGGAGAUAAACAAAACUAAUAGGGAGUAUAUAAGCAUAGAGUAAUAAGCAUUAUAAAGAGUAGGGGAGGAAGUUCCCAUCCUGGCUCAGUGGUUAACGAACCCGACUAGCAUCCAUGAGGUCUUGGGUUCAAUCCCUGGCCCUGCUCAUCGGGUUAAGGAUCCGUCAUUGCUGUGAGCUGUGGCAGGCACAUCUCGGAUCCUAUGUGGCUGUGGCUUGUGGAAUAGGCCAGCGGUUAUAACUCCGAUUUGACCCCUAGCCUGGGAAUCUCCAUAUGCUGCCCUCUAAAAAGCCAGGGGGGAAAAAAAAAAGAUUAUGGGGAUAAAAUAGGGAGGACAGUGUAAGAGUAUGGGGGUUACAAUUUAAUUAAAACAGGAUGACAUUCGUAUAAUUGAAUUAGCUAAGAAAGGGAAUCGUUCAGAGGGUCCAGCAAACAAAAGACAGAAUUGGGACAGACUUGAGCGUUGGAGGAAGAUAAGGGAAAGCAGUUAGCUGAAGCCAAGUAGUAGCAAGUAGAAGGUUGGAGAGAUGCUGGAUAAUUCUAAAGAAACUUUUAGGCCACUAUGCAGGCUAUUCAUUAAUCUGAGUCAGAACUCAAAGCCCUAGGAAUAGUGACAUGAUCUGAAUUCACAUAUCGAUAGGAUCAUUUUGGGUGCUGAAUUGACACGAGAAAGAUUUCAGAGUACCCACGUUUAUUAAAGUAAACAUUUAUAGCCGAAAUGAAAGCUCCACCAACAAUAUCUCUAUUGUAUUUUUCCUCUUAUUAGGAAGAGAAAUGCUGUUUAUGUCCCACUAGAUCUGUUUCAUGACUGCCCAACUUAGAGUUGAAAAGCACUGCUAAAUGAGAUACAACCUUCUUUCCUUGCUGGGAAGGAAGGAAAUAGUAGAACGUAGGGUGUUGUGUAAUAGAAACUUAAAAAAUCAAUGUUAUCCGCAAACUUAGCUUUAAAAAAAAUCAAGUAAUUGUCAGUGAUAGAAAAGGCCUAAUCAUGAAGAGCCCCACUUCUCAGAGACACCUACUUAAAGAAAAAACCUUGUUCAGAUUUCCUGGGGCUUAACUCCAUGUUCUAAAUAAUAUGCUUAUAGUGUUUAUUUUUUGGUUUAUCAACUUGAGACAUUCUCUGUUGACUUCUUGCUAUGACAGAUGUUUUCAGUCCCACUUCUCACUACUGACCUUCCUCGUACGACGGUCACUGAACUGGCGCCUCUCUGGGGUUCUGCCCAGAAGAUUAGCCUUCCUCCUUCGCUGCACCCCCUCUAACCAUGGGCAAUCUCUAUGUUCUUUUAAAAAAAUAUUUUUAAUUAAACAUUUAUGUUAAAAUUUCUUUAGAAAAGUUUAUUUUAAGUUGUUAGGAAGGAGAAGAGAUAAUCUGGCACCUUGAAGAUUAGAAGUUUUGGCCAAAUUUUUUUGUUUUGUUUUUUUUUAAAUGUGCGUAGUGUGUUUAAGAGUUAGAUGCAUUUACAAUAUUUAAUCUUUUUUUUUUUUUUUUUUUUUAUUGUCUUUUUGCUAUUUCUUUGGGCCGCACCCGCAGCACAUGGAGGUUCCCAGGCUAGGGGUCGAAUCGGAGCCGUAGCCACCGGCCUAUGCCAGAGCCACAGCAACGUGGGAUCUGAACCGCGUCUGCAACCUACACCACAGCUCACGGCAACGCCGGAUCGUUAACCCACUGAGCAAGGGCAGGGAUCGAACCCGCAACCUCAUGGUUCCUAGUCGGAUUCGUUAACCACUGUGCCACGACGGGAACUCCUACAAUAUUUAAUCUUUUAAAAACAAAUUUUAUCUUCCAAUGUCAUUAACUACUCUUUCAAAGUGAUAUAUAGCAUUCUUUCAUAUAGGAUUCCCCCAAUUUUAGGUUAUUUUUAUAUUACAAGUUAUAUAAAUUAUAACUAAUGAUCCUAUGGAUUUUCCUUAUGGAAAUAUUUACAUUUAAUCUUUAUUUCUCAGGAGUGGUCAUUGCUAAAUCAAAGAAGAUAAACAUUUUUUUGAAGCCCUUUUU